AUCACAUAAAUGGAGCCACAGGAAACAUUUUUAGUUUUGUGGUGAACUGUCCCUUUAAUUCUCUAAGGAUGCUUUAAAUGUGAAGAUUUGAACUCCUGUACCUGCGGGUCGGUAACCGGCAGUGAAACGAGAAGCUGAGAGGAGGAAGCAGACGGCCUGCAGGACUCUGUGGGGAAAACGCUCUUCCUCAAGCACGACGUGCGUCACGGCUUCCGACGGGCCGUCAGCGCCUCCGCUCAAAUUUAAAGGAUCUGUGCAGAUGUUCUUGUUGGAAUACACGGAGACAUCUCUCUGCAGGCGGCGGCGUCUGAUGGAGCUCGUCAGGCUGUGGGCGCAGGACGUGGAGCCGGAAAUCCAGCGUAAAGAUAAGAGAAUGUAACGUUAAAAAAAGAUCACAUGCACGUGACUAUCUCCAUGUGCGUCUGUCACUGUGUGUUUAACAAACCGGUAACGUGCAGUAAAAUGGAAACACACACACCUGUCUACACAGACGACAGGUGGGGGUUCAAGACGCGUUCAGGGCCAUAAAUUACAAAUAAAAACAUUGUACUUAAUAAAAUGUCCACGAAGUGA
Cottoperca gobio is the source of this 573-nucleotide long non-coding RNA. RefSeq lists it as uncharacterized. The transcript has 2 exons. Lineage: Eukaryota; Metazoa; Chordata; Actinopteri; Perciformes; Bovichtidae. The record is from RefSeq and is a predicted model, not a curated record.